Molecule: ribosomal RNA, 425 nt
Filed under: uncultured bacterium
Lineage: Bacteria
Description: bacterial SSU rRNA
Rfam family: Bacterial small subunit ribosomal RNA
Source: RNAcentral
GGGGAAUUUUCCGCAAUGGGCGAAAGCCUGACGGAGCAAUCUCGCGUGAGGGAUGACUGCCUAUGGGUUGUAAACCUCUUUUUUCAGGGAGGAAUCAAUGACGUGUACCUGAAGAAUAAGCAUCGGCUAACUCCGUGCCAGCAGCCGCGGUAAGACGGAGGAUGCAAGUGUUAUCCGGAAUCACUGGGCGUAAAGCGUCCGUAGGUGGUUUAAUAAGUCAACUGUUAAAUCUUGAAGCUCAACUUCAAAAUCGGAGUCGAAACUAUUAGACUAGAGUAUAGUAGGGGUAAAGGGAAUUUCCAGUGGAGCGGUGAAAUGCGUAGAGAUUGGAAAGAACACCGAUGGCGAAGGCACUUUACUGGGCUAUUACUGACACUCAGAGACGAAAGCUAGGGUAGCAAAAGGGAUUAGAUACCCCUGUAGUC